Molecule: long non-coding RNA, 463 nt
Filed under: Capsicum annuum
Lineage: Eukaryota; Viridiplantae; Streptophyta; Magnoliopsida; Solanales; Solanaceae
Description: long non-coding RNA (CANN_LNC014549)
Source: RNAcentral
ACGGAGUCACUCCACUUUAUUUGUAUAAUUAAAAAAUCACAAUUAAUACUAAUAAUGUGGAGAAAAAAGGAUACAACAACAACAACAACAACAACAAACCCAGUGUAUUCCCACUUAGUGGGGUCUGGGGGGUAAGAUGUACGCAGUCCAUACCUCUACCUCUGAUGAAGUAGAAAGGCUGUUUCCGAAAGACCCCCGGCUCAAGUCACGAGAUAUCACACAAACACAUAGUACAGCACAGAAGCAGAUGACAUAACAUAGAUACGGCACCCAUAAGGAAUAUAAAACAGAGUAAAGCAGGAAUGCAGGAAUAUAAAGCAGAGGAAAGCACACAUAUUCGUAAUAAACAUGGAACACGGAACACGGAACAUUGAAUACGGAAUCAUAACAGGAAUACCCCCCACCAAUUUAUUCCCUACACUAGCGACCCGAACUGGCCCUAAUCCUCUGCCGUAAUUCUCAU